Molecule: ribosomal RNA, 332 nt
Filed under: bacterium enrichment culture clone ALO1_GLFRUDD03GM6G5
Lineage: Bacteria
Description: bacterial SSU rRNA
Rfam family: Bacterial small subunit ribosomal RNA
Source: RNAcentral
GAGUUUGAUCGUGGCUCAGAUUGAACGCUGGCGGCAUGCCUUACACAUGCAAGUCGAACGGCAGCACGGGAGCUUGCUCCUGGUGGCGAGUGGCGAACGGGUGAGUAAUGCAUCGGAACGUAUCCUGGAGUGGGGGAUAACGUAGCGAAAGUUACGCUAAUACCGCAUAUUCUGUGAGCAGGAAAGCGGGGGACCUUCGGGCCUCGCGCUCUUGGAGCGGCCGAUGUCGGAUCAGCUAGUUGGUGAGGUAAAGGCUCACCAAGGCGACGAUCCGUAGCAGGUCUGAGAGGAUGAUCUGCACACUGGAACUGAGACACGGUCCAGACUCCUAC